RNAcentral lists this ribosomal RNA (240 nucleotides) under uncultured bacterium. RNAcentral's name for it is "partial 16S ribosomal RNA". It matches the Rfam family "Bacterial small subunit ribosomal RNA", at positions 559 to 793 of the family's 1533-position model. The record is from RNAcentral.
CGUAAAGCGCAUGCAGGUGGUUUGUUAAGUCAGAUGUGAAAGACCCGGGGCGUCAACCUCCGGAAUUGCAUUUGAAACUGGCAAACUAGAGUACUGUAGAGGGGGGUAGGAAUUUCAGGUGUAGCGGUGAAAUGCGUAGAGAUCUGAAGGAAUACCGGUGGCGAAGGCGGCCCCCUCGGACAGAUACUGACACUCAGAUGCGAAAGCGUGGGGAGCAAACAGGAUUAGAUACCCUGGUAG